GACGGAGGGGGCAAGCGUUGUUCGGAAUUACUGGGCGUAAAGCGUGCGCAGGCGGUUCGCUAAGACCGAUGUGAAAUCCCCGGGCUUAACCUGGGAACUGCAUUGGUGACUGGCGGGCUAGAGUAUGGCAGGGGGGGGUAGAAUUCCACGUGUAGCAGUGAAAUGCGUAGAGAUGUGGAGGAAUACCGAUGGCGAAGGCAGCCCCCUGGGCCAAUACUGACGCUCAUGCACGAAAGCGUGGGGAGCAAACAGG
RNAcentral lists this ribosomal RNA (253 nucleotides) under uncultured bacterium. RNAcentral's name for it is "partial 16S ribosomal RNA". It matches the Rfam family "Bacterial small subunit ribosomal RNA", at positions 524 to 776 of the family's 1533-position model. The record is from RNAcentral.